This 500-nucleotide ribosomal RNA is filed under the name uncultured bacterium. RNAcentral's name for it is "partial 16S ribosomal RNA". It matches the Rfam family "Bacterial small subunit ribosomal RNA", at positions 28 to 507 of the family's 1533-position model. The record is from RNAcentral.
GACGAACGCUGGCGGCGUGCUUAACACAUGCAAGUCGAACGGGUCUGCCCUGUUUUUUGCGGGGUGGGUCAGUGGCGAACGGGUGAGUAACACGUGAGUAACCUGCCCCUCACUUCUGGAUAACCGCUUGAAAGGGUGGCUAAUACGGGGUGUUCUGGCUGUGCCGCAUGGUGUGGCUGGGAAAGAUUCACUUUUGUGGUGUUUUGGUGGGGGAUGGGCUCGCGGCCUAUCAGCUUGUUGGUGGGGUGAUGGCCUGCCAAGGCUUUGACGGGUAGCCGGCAUGAGAGGGUGGGCGGUCACACUGGGACUGAGAUACGGCCCAGACUCCUGCGGGAGGCAGCAGUGGGGGGUAUUGCACAAUGGGCGGAAGCAUGAUGCAGCGACGUCGCGUGAGGGAUGGAGGCCUUCGGGUUGUGAACCUCUUUCGCCGGUGAAGAAGGUCCUGCUCUUUGUGGUGGGGUUGACGGUAGCCGGGUUAUGAAGCGCCGGCUAACUACGUG